RNAcentral lists this ribosomal RNA (682 nucleotides) under Arthrobacter sp. 01xTSA28A_C01. RNAcentral's name for it is "bacterial SSU rRNA". It matches the Rfam family "Bacterial small subunit ribosomal RNA", at positions 158 to 850 of the family's 1533-position model. Lineage: Bacteria; Bacillati; Actinomycetota; Actinomycetes; Micrococcales; Micrococcaceae. The record is from RNAcentral.
UGGGUCUAAUACCGGAUAUGACUCCUCAUCGCAUGGUGGGGGGUGGAAAGCUUUAUUGUGGUUUUGGAUGGACUCUCGGCCUAUCAGCUUGUUGGUGAGGUAAUGGCUCACCAAGGCGACGACGGGUAGCCGGCCUGAGAGGGUGACCGGCCACACUGGGACUGAGACACGGCCCAGACUCCUACGGGAGGCAGCAGUGGGGAAUAUUGCACAAUGGGCGAAAGCCUGAUGCAGCGACGCCGCGUGAGGGAUGACGGCCUUCGGGUUGUAAACCUCUUUCAGUAGGGAAGAAGCGAAAGUGACGGUACCUGCAGAAGAAGCGCCGGCUAACUACGUGCCAGCAGCCGCGGUAAUACGUAGGGCGCAAGCGUUAUCCGGAAUUAUUGGGCGUAAAGAGCUCGUAGGCGGUUUGUCGCGUCUGCCGUGAAAGUCCGGGGCUCAACUCCGGAUCUGCGGUGGGUACGGGCAGACUAGAGUGAUGUAGGGGAGACUGGAAUUCCUGGUGUAGCGGUGAAAUGCGCAGAUAUCAGGAGGAACACCGAUGGCGAAGGCAGGUCUCUGGGCAUUAACUGACGCUGAGGAGCGAAAGCAUGGGGAGCGAACAGGAUUAGAUACCCUGGUAGUCCAUGCCGUAAACGUUGGGCACUAGGUGUGGGGGACAUUCCACGUUUUCCGCGCCGUA